GGAACCCAUGUGGGGUUUUGUUUGAUGUAUUAUUUUUUUACAUAGGUAUAAAAACACGAUCCUCUUUUGAAACCCAGAACUCAUUGUUCUGUAUGAGUUCUGGUGCAGAUAAGAAGGAACAUA
This is a small nucleolar RNA of Sorex araneus (European shrew), 123 nucleotides long. RefSeq annotates it as small nucleolar RNA SNORA40. Lineage: Eukaryota; Metazoa; Chordata; Mammalia; Eulipotyphla; Soricidae. The transcript has a single exon. The record is from RefSeq and is a predicted model, not a curated record.